UACGGGAGGCAGCAGUGGGGAAUAUUGCACAAUGGGCGAAAGCCUGAUGCAGCUAUGCCGCGUGUAUGAAGAAGGCCUUAGGGUUGUAAAGUACUUUCAUCGGGGAGGAAAAACAAAACUAAUAAUUUUAUUUCUUGACGUUACCCGAAAAAGAAGCACCGGCUAACUCCGUGCCAGCAGCCGCGGUAAUACGGAGGGUGCUAGCGUUAAUCAGAAUUACUGGGCGUAAAGAGCACGUAGGUGGUUUUUUUAAGUCAGAUGUGAAAUCCCUGGACUUAACCUAGGAACUGCAUUUUGAAACUGAAAUACUAGAGUAUCGUAGAGGGAGGUAGAAUUCUAGGUGUAGCGGUGAAAUGCGUAGAUAUCUGGAGGAAUACCUGUGGCGAAAGCGGCCUCCUAAACGAAUACUGACACUGAGGUGCGAAAGCGUGGGGAGCAAACAGGGAUUAGAUACC
Molecule: ribosomal RNA, 455 nt
Filed under: uncultured bacterium
Lineage: Bacteria
Description: bacterial SSU rRNA
Rfam family: Bacterial small subunit ribosomal RNA
Source: RNAcentral